CGGGGCGGGCGCGAGCGACACGCUAUUCGUGGGGGCGCAGAGCUCUGGGGUUGCAGUUCCGGUUGGGAGGGGUGGGGCCGAGCGCUGUGAAGUGAAGAGGGCGAGGCCGGGUGUUUGUUGAACUGGCCCGCGUAACCUCUGUUUCGUCUUUGGUAAACAAUGUCCUUUGCUGUGCGUCUCCUUUUGCCUGAUUUGGUGGCUUCCUCUGACCUGAGUCCUUAGAAUAUCGAGGGAAGAAGUAGAGCUAGGACUUCCAGUACAAUGUUGAAUAGAAGUCAUCAGUGAAUGAAUCAUGACUACCAUACAACAUAUGGAAAAAUGCUUAUGGACCUAUUGUUAAGGGGAAAAAUGACACAACAUGCACACGAUAAUUACAUCUGGGUAAAGAAUAUUACACAGGAGCAAGAUGGCAGAGGAAUAGGAGACCUGGAUUUC
Callorhinus ursinus (northern fur seal) is the source of this 435-nucleotide long non-coding RNA. RefSeq lists it as uncharacterized. Lineage: Eukaryota; Metazoa; Chordata; Mammalia; Carnivora; Otariidae. The record is from RefSeq and is a predicted model, not a curated record.